This is a long non-coding RNA of Alexandromys fortis (reed vole), 419 nucleotides long. RefSeq lists it as uncharacterized. The record is from RefSeq and is a predicted model, not a curated record. NCBI's taxonomy places the organism in Eukaryota, Metazoa, Chordata, Mammalia, Rodentia, Cricetidae. The transcript is spliced from 4 exons.
CUGAUAAUGACAUAAGAACAGAGCUGAUUGCUCCUCCUGCCUGUGGAGAAAGCUUCAAAGUUGGUUGAUUACGGAUAAUCACCCCAUUCAUGAGUUGGAUGAAAUGACCACACUAUCAACAACUAUUUCAAAGUUACCACCAUGAACUUUGGCGAUUGAUAAAGAAUAGUCAUUGCAGGCAAAAAAUACAGGCAAGGCGACCUGACUAGAAGACUUCUAGGAAGAGGAAAGGCUCAGUCUGCAGCUGCCACCCAGACACAGAGAAAGCAAGAUAAAAAUUCUGCACUGACAAAAGCUAAUGGAAGAUUUAUUGCACUUUGAUGAUCAUAUCCAACCUUCCAAGGAGACAAAGUGAACAAUCGCUUUACUUUUGAGCAACCUGUUUUACUCAAGCACCCUCAUUUUGGACUAACCUAAAC